GUGCUCGCUUUGGCAGCACAUAUACUAAAAUUGGAACGAUACAGAGAAGAUUAGCACGGCCCCUGCGCAAGGAUGACACGAAGAAAAAAAAAACUGGAUAUUCACAU
Molecule: small nuclear RNA, 107 nt
Organism: Trichechus manatus latirostris (Florida manatee)
Lineage: Eukaryota; Metazoa; Chordata; Mammalia; Sirenia; Trichechidae
Source: RefSeq, a predicted model, not a curated record